GACGAACGCUGGCGGCGUGCUUAACACAUGCAAGUCGAACGGAAAGGCCCUGCUUUUGUGGGGUGAUCGAGUGGCGAACGGGUGAGUAACACGUGAGUAACCUGACCUUGACUUUGGGAUAACUUCAGGAAACUGGGGCUAAUACCGGAUAGGAGAUCCUGCUGCAUGGUGGGGGUUGGAAAGUUUCGGCGGGUGGGGAUGGACUCGCGGCUUAUCAGCUUGUUGGUGGGGUAGUGGCUUACCAAGGCUUUGACGGGUAGCCGGCCUGAGAGGGUGACCGGCCACAUUGGUACUGAGAUACGGCCCAGACUCCUACGGGAGGCAGCAGUGGGGAAUAUUGCACAAUGGGCGGAAGCCUGAUGCAGCAACGCCGCGUGCGGGAUGACGGCCUUCGGGUUGUAAACCGCUUUCGCCUGUGACGAAGCGUGAGUGACGGUAAUGGGUAAAGAAGCACCGGCUAACUACGUG
This 468-nucleotide ribosomal RNA is filed under the name uncultured bacterium. RNAcentral's name for it is "partial 16S ribosomal RNA". It matches the Rfam family "Bacterial small subunit ribosomal RNA", at positions 28 to 507 of the family's 1533-position model. The record is from RNAcentral.